AUGCAACUGAAUCCUCUAAGAGUGAUGACCAAACAGAUGAAAGCCUGUCGCUAUGAAUCGUGAGGCAUACGUUCAGGACUUGCCCUGGACUGAUAUGGGCAGCCCCUUCCUAUGGUUCUGCUGUGGCUGGGUGGACAGGAGGAACUAAGACUACUUCUAUCAAAAAAUGUUUGACCUUGCUUAUAUGGGCCUGGAUAAAAAUGGCAGUGUAAGGAACAGUACAUUCAGUUGCUCAGCGAAGCCCAUAGAAUCCUGCUUACUGCAUGGAAAUACAACAACAGUAAAAUCAGAGAAUUAGGAGAUGUCUCAGAAAACAUGUCUGGACUCCAUUUCACUUAUUCUCUGAGGAGAAGCAUAAUCACUAUACACAGAAUUACGGGUCUCUCAGAAGGCUGCUUCUCUACCGUUCCUAACAUCAAAAUGGAUACUGGGUUUAAUGAAAGCAGAUUCUAUCAUGGUUGCUGCUUUGUGUGUUCUGGUACAUGAACAGUUUGAAUUCCUUCUGUCUAUCGGAUCUCUAUGGAGCCCAAGACAAACUGGUGAUUCUGAGAAUGCUCAUGGACAGCUGAAUGAAAUGAGAUCAAGACUGGUGUGUGAUGCCAAUUUUCAAAAUUUUAUUAACAGUAGAGAAAUGUUUCUUGGAGAAGAGUUGGGUUUUGCCACCUGUGUUCUUAGUCCUGAAGAUAGUUUUCUGGAGGAAGCAGUGAGAAAAUCCUUGGAGCUCCAUAUAAACAAGCUUGUUUUAAUGGCAGUAUGUGGAAAUUCUCAUUUGGUCUCCAGAAAAAAAUUCUUUCUUCUGUAA
Molecule: long non-coding RNA, 802 nt
Filed under: Numida meleagris (helmeted guineafowl)
Lineage: Eukaryota; Metazoa; Chordata; Aves; Galliformes; Numididae
Description: lncRNA (ENSNMEG00000011038.1)
Source: RNAcentral